AUGGCAGCAAAGAAAGGAACUUCUCGUCUCCUUUCCUUCACAUUCCAGAAGAGGGGGUCACAUUCCAGAACUGAGUCUCAUUCCUGGGGUUCUAGAGGCAGAGCAGGUGACAGAGGGGGAGGAAAUGGCACUCAACACACAAGUAGCCAGAGGAGGAAGAAGUAUCUCUGGUGUUGGAGGAGGCACGUUUUACCAUUUUCUGAUGCUUGGAAGGAGGAUAUAAAGGAGCUGCCUUGCAUCAAAAGAUGGAAAUGCGUGUUGAAGAAGGCAGAGUAG
Molecule: long non-coding RNA, 276 nt
Filed under: Capra hircus (goat)
Lineage: Eukaryota; Metazoa; Chordata; Mammalia; Artiodactyla; Bovidae
Description: lncRNA (ENSCHIG00000001810.1)
Source: RNAcentral